UGGGGAAUAUUGGGCAAUGGGCGCAAGCCUGACCCAGCAAUGCCGCGUGAAGGAAGAAGGCCCUCGGGUUGUAAACUUCUUUUAUCAGGGACGAAGGAUGUGACGGUACCUGAUGAAUAAGCUCCGGCUAACUACGUGCC
RNAcentral lists this ribosomal RNA (140 nucleotides) under uncultured bacterium. RNAcentral's name for it is "partial 16S ribosomal RNA". It matches the Rfam family "Bacterial small subunit ribosomal RNA", at positions 355 to 509 of the family's 1533-position model. The record is from RNAcentral.